RNAcentral lists this ribosomal RNA (428 nucleotides) under uncultured bacterium. RNAcentral's name for it is "bacterial SSU rRNA". It matches the Rfam family "Bacterial small subunit ribosomal RNA", at positions 355 to 775 of the family's 1533-position model. The record is from RNAcentral.
UGGGGAAUUUUGCGCAAUGGGGGAAACCCUGACGCAGCAACGCCGCGUGAGUGAUGAAGGCUUUCGGGUCGUAAAGCUCUGUCAGAGGGGAAGAAAUGAGAUUGGCUAAUAUCCAAUUUUCUUGACGGUACCCUCAAAGGAAGCACCGGCUAACUCCGUGCCAGCAGCCGCGGUAAUACGGAGGGUGCAAGCGUUGUUCGGAUUUAUUGGGCGUAAAGCGCGUGUAGGCGGUUUCUUAAGUCUGAUGUGAAAGCCCUGGGCUCAACCCAGGAAGUGCAUUGGAUACUGGGAGACUUGAAUACGGGAGAGGGUAGUGGAAUUCCUAGUGUAGGAGUGAAAUCCGUAGAUAUUAGGAGGAACACCGGUGGCGAAGGCGGCUACCUGGACCGAUAUUGACGCUGAGACGCGAAAGCGUGGGGAGCAAACAG